GGAACUGAAACAUCUAAGUACCUGAAGGAAGAGAAAGAAAUUCGAUUCCGUAAGUAGCGGCGAGCGAACGCGGAUUAGCCCAAACCAAUAAAGUUUUCUUUAUUGGGGUUGCGGACAUAUCAUAACGAAGAGGUAUCGUAAUUGAAGAGGUUUGGAAAGACCCACCACAGAAGGUAAUAGUCCUGUAUGUUAAACGAGAAGACUUUAGAUAUGAUCCAGAGUACCACGGGACACGUGAAACCCUGUGGGAAGCAGGAGGGACCACCCUCCAAGGCUAAAUACUACCUAGUGACCGAUAGCGUAUAGUACCGUGAGGGAAAGGUGAAAAGAACCCCGUGAGGGGAGUGAAAUAGAACCUGAAACCCUGCACUUACAAGCUGUGGAAGCACAUUUCUUGUGUGACCGCGUACUUUUUGUAGAACGGGCCAACGAGUUACGUUAAGUAGCAAGGUUAAGCACUUAAGGUGUGGAGCCGUAGCGAAAGCGAGUUUUAACUGAGCGUUCAGUUACUUGACGUAGACCCGAAACCGGGCGACCUACCCAUGAGCAGGAUGAAGCGAAAGUAAAAUUUCGUGGAGGUCCGAACCCACGAGCGUUGAAAAGCUCGGGGAUGACUUGUGGGUAGCGGUGAAAUUCCAAUCGAGCCCGGAGAUAGCUGGUUCUCCCCGAAAUAGCUUUAGGGCUAGCCUCAAGUUGAGAGAUACGGAGGUAGAGCACUGAAUGUCCUAGGGGGUAUUGCACCUACCGAAGACUAUCAAACUCCGAAUGCCGUCAUCUUAUACUUGGGAGUCAGACUGUGGGUGAUAAGAUUCAUAGUCGAAAGGGCAACAGCCCAGAUCGUCAGCUAAGGUCCCUAAAUGUAAGUUAAGUGGUAAAGGAUGUGGGAUUGCACAGACAACCAGGAUGUUGGCUUAGAAGCAGCCACUCAUUCAAAGAGUGCGUAAUAGCUCACUGGUCGAGUGAUCCUGCGCCGAAGAUUUCCGGGGCUAAA
RNAcentral lists this ribosomal RNA (991 nucleotides) under Clostridioides difficile. RNAcentral describes it as "bacterial LSU rRNA". It matches the Rfam family "Bacterial large subunit ribosomal RNA", at positions 189 to 1185 of the family's 2925-position model. Lineage: Bacteria; Bacillati; Bacillota; Clostridia; Peptostreptococcales; Peptostreptococcaceae. The record is from RNAcentral.